RNAcentral lists this ribosomal RNA (467 nucleotides) under uncultured bacterium. Its description in RNAcentral is "partial 16S ribosomal RNA". It matches the Rfam family "Bacterial small subunit ribosomal RNA", at positions 28 to 507 of the family's 1533-position model. The record is from RNAcentral.
GACGAACGCUGGCGGCGUGCUUAACACAUGCAAGUCGAACGGAAAGGCCCUGCUUUUGUGGGGUGCUCGAGUGGCGAACGGGUGAGUAACACGUGAGUAACCUGCCCUUGACUUUGGGAUAACUUCAGGAAACUGGGGCUAAUACCGGAUAGGAGCUCCUGCUGCAUGGUGGGGGUUGGAAAGUUUCGGCGGUUGGGGAUGGACUCGCGGCUUAUCAGCUUGUUGGUGGGGUAGUGGCUUACCAAGCUUUGACGGGUAGCCGGCCUGAGAGGGUGACCGGCCACAUUGGGACUGAGAUACGGCCCAGACUCCUACGGGAGGCAGCAGUGGGGAAUAUUGCACAAUGGGCGGAAGCCUGAUGCAGCAACGCCGCGUGCGGGAUGACGGCCUUCGGGUUGUAAACCGCUUUCGCCUGUGACGAAGCGUGAGUGACGGUAAUGGGUAAAGAAGCACCGGCUAACUACGUG